This is a non-coding RNA of Callorhinchus milii (elephant shark), 87 nucleotides long. NCBI's taxonomy places the organism in Eukaryota, Metazoa, Chordata, Chondrichthyes, Chimaeriformes, Callorhinchidae. The record is from Ensembl.
CGGUCAAUGAUGACUAGUUCACUGCGCAAUCCGAGUUCCAGAGUGGACACUAAUGAUGGAAUGAGUGCUGACAGAUGUCUGAGACCA